RNAcentral lists this ribosomal RNA (440 nucleotides) under uncultured bacterium. Its description in RNAcentral is "bacterial SSU rRNA". It matches the Rfam family "Bacterial small subunit ribosomal RNA", at positions 338 to 786 of the family's 1533-position model. The record is from RNAcentral.
CCUACGGGUGGCUGCAGUCGAGGAUCUUCGGCAAUGGGGGCAACCCUGACCGAGCGACGCCGCGUGUGCGACGAAGGCCUUCGGGUUGUAAAGCACUGUCGAGGGGGAGGAAACCCGCAAGGGCUGACCUAUCCCUGGAGGAAGCACGGGCUAAGUUCGUGCCAGCAGCCGCGGUAAGACGAACCGUGCGAACGUUGUUCGGAAUCACUGGGCUUAAAGGGCGCGUAGGCGGCCCGCCGCGUCCGGGGUGAAAUCCUCCCGCUCAACGGGAGAACGGCCUCGGAUACGGGCGGGCUGGAGGGGGGUAGGGGCACGCGGAACUGUGGGUGGAGCGGUGAAAUGCGUUGAGAUCCACAGGAACUCCGGUGGCGAAGGCGGCGUGCUGGACCCCAUCUGACGCUGAGGCGCGAAAGCCAGGGGAGCGAACGGGAUUAGAUACC